RNAcentral lists this long non-coding RNA (617 nucleotides) under Felis catus (domestic cat). Its description in RNAcentral is "lncRNA (ENSFCAG00000049394.1)". Lineage: Eukaryota; Metazoa; Chordata; Mammalia; Carnivora; Felidae. The record is from RNAcentral.
GGAAGUGCUCUUCUGUCCCCGAGUUCUGGAGUGUUCUUGUUUCACGAAAGGGUGUUCAGUUCCCAGAACCACUGGCGGAGGACAUCCCGUGGCCAUGGGAACCAGUGGCACACAGACGCGCGGACCCUCACCUUACCUGCGUUUCUCGUCCUUGCGUUUCUCCGCCCCCCGCAAGAGAUCCUCCGGCCCUCUGGACGUCUACACGCACCGGGAGGGAUUAAGGAGUUAACAUUCGCCCGACGACCUCGACUCACGGGGUCAGAAGCUGCUGGAUUGAAUGCUCUCCGUGCCUUUGUCGUCUGUCUUGGGUGGAAACAUCUGAGGCACGUCCUACGGGGUUCCUCACCGGUGCCCACGUGGGACUGAGCCCGGGUCCCUAGUAGCACCCAGAUCAAUACCGUACCUUUGAGUCGGUUUCCUCUGGUCCCCAUUUCACCCAUCGGUCUCUGCUCCAGCUCCCUGAUCGCCUCCCCAAAUCACCUUGGUCUUGGGCUCCGACUUGGGGGAACCGAGGUAGCACAGUGAGUACUGUUUGUCUAUCUGAGACAACCUUCCUCAGCAUCCAAUAUCUCUCCACACCUCCCGGCUCUAAUUAACUCACUAAGCGAGCACGACUG